Myotis lucifugus (little brown bat) is the source of this 790-nucleotide long non-coding RNA. RefSeq lists it as uncharacterized. The record is from RefSeq and is a predicted model, not a curated record. The transcript is spliced from 3 exons. Lineage: Eukaryota; Metazoa; Chordata; Mammalia; Chiroptera; Vespertilionidae.
UCUUAUAAAUUUGAAUUAAGAAACCCAGGUCAGGUCUAACAUUUUUUUCUUUGGGGGAAUGACCCUUCUCCUCUUCUUAGCCCACACACUUUGAUGGAGCUGACUCCAUCCUUGACUUUCUUAGACGGCCCCUGGCUCGGCCUGACCAAUCAGAGCACUGCACUCUCCUGGGAUGGACCAAUGAGAUGUGCCAGACUCCCUGGCUAUUGAAUGAAAACGAGCCCAGCCCACAGAAGAGAGACACCAGGUCCUGAGGACUUCAUCUUCUGAAUCCAGCCAUGCCUGUCUGCGCUUCCCACUGAAGUUUUUCCUUUUUACUUAGUUCAGACUGGAUUAGGUUUUGUUCCAGAUCCUAACUCAUUCAACUCCUCCCUUCAAGCAGAACAAGAUACAACAUCCAGAAAGAUGAGGGCGCUGCUCUAACCACCUGAGCACCCGGCCAGGGCCAGCGGAGUCAGUCUUGACCUCCCGACCUACAGAAAGCAUGUGAGAUGAUAAAGACUGACUGUCCUCAGCCACUACGUUUGCAGCGAUAGAACUCUGGAAAGCACCUAAAUGCCUGCAGCUAGGAGAGUGCCUGUCUAGACCACGGCAUGACGGUAUGAUGGAGCAGCGUGCAGCUCUAAUUAAACGGGGGGAAACUGAGACAAAUUGAUUCCCAAGAGAUAUUAAGUGAAAAAAAAGAAAAAUGCAAAAGGAUAUCUAUUUUUCAUGUAAAAAAGUAGGGGGUUAAGAAAAUAUACAUGGGCCCUGGCUGGGUAGUUCAGUGGUUGGAGCCUUAUCCCGAUGC